ACACAGAGCACCCGUGUAUCCUCGGCUGAAGAAAGCAAUUGAGGAGAGCAGAAAGUUCUCCUUUUAACGAAUUUGCACCCCUACAUACUGUAUGAAGAACACUUAUCGGUUUCCGGGUCACGGACAGAGUAGAGGAGGACAAAAGAGUCGAGGAGAGGACAGACAUUUUCUAAUUGAGAAUCUCCCACUGUCAUGGAUCGAUUCGCAUCAUAGACUCGCAGUGUCUUGUAAAUCAUUUCUCUCGCCAGGGAUUUGUGAAGAGACAGGCUAUUUUUGCAUGCAACACACUCUGCCUUACCUGCACCAACCAUUGCCAUGACGGGUGUCUUUGAGCUUUACACAAAAAGGGCAAAGACCGACAAAACAUUAAAAACCAAUACAAUCACAACUUUCAUGGCUGUUACUGUACCUGUGACAGACCUUAUCCAGACACUGAUGAUCAUGUGUGGGUUUCAUUCCAGCAUUAGGCACCAUUCACUUUCUCCAUCACUAUUGAUGAAUGAAUGUUUUAUUUCUGUCUGUAUCAUACACUUUGUUGAUAUGCUAGAUCUCUAGGAUUCAGUUAGUGUGUUGUUGAAAGAAUGAUGGCUAUGUCAUUCUAAAUCACAAAACACUGUCAUGGUCUUUAUAUUUCCGAUAACGUUAAUGAGGAUAUGAUCACCUCUAAGGACCGGUAUCAUCCCAGGGUAUGUAUCGGGCCAACAUCAUGAUUGUUGUCAGUUCUCUUUCUAAACUAUGUUAGCAGAGAUAAUGGUUUUGGUUACAAAGACCGGAAUGAUUACUCCUCCUCCAUGUGGACUUCUCUGUGACAGCACUUGGGUUGUAUGGUGGAAAAGACUGAGGAGAUGGAGUGUGAGACCUGUAUUAGCAAAGCCCCCUUCCUUUGGACCUACUUCGCCACUCAGCAGGUGUGUUAUUAUUCCUCCCACUGGCAGAGAGCGCUAGGGAUCCAGAGCUCUGGGCUUGGGUUACAAAAAACACCAACCAUAAAUGAGUACCGCUUUUUAAAUCUAUUGCCCCUAGCUAACUAAAGAUUGGAGAUAACGGUCCUGUUCAUUCAUUCAUUCAGUUGAGAGAAUGCCAAAAGUGUGCAAAACUAUAAUCAAGGGAAAGGGUGGCUACUUUGUUUAACACUUUUUUUUG
Long non-coding RNA from Oncorhynchus gorbuscha (pink salmon), 1143 nucleotides. RefSeq lists it as uncharacterized. The transcript is spliced from 4 exons. The record is from RefSeq and is a predicted model, not a curated record. NCBI's taxonomy places the organism in Eukaryota, Metazoa, Chordata, Actinopteri, Salmoniformes, Salmonidae.